RNAcentral lists this ribosomal RNA (435 nucleotides) under Pectobacterium aroidearum. RNAcentral describes it as "bacterial SSU rRNA". It matches the Rfam family "Bacterial small subunit ribosomal RNA", at positions 625 to 1059 of the family's 1533-position model. The record is from RNAcentral. Lineage: Bacteria; Pseudomonadati; Pseudomonadota; Gammaproteobacteria; Enterobacterales; Pectobacteriaceae.
AUUCGAAACUGGCAAGCUCGAGUAUGUUAGAGGGUGGUAGAAUUCCAGGUGUAGCGGUGAAAUGCGUAGAGAUCUGGAGGAAUCCCGGUGGGGAAGGCGGCCCCCUGGACGAAGACUGACGCUCAGGUGCGAAAGCGUGGGGAGCAAACAGGAUUAGAUACCCUGGUAGUCCACGCUGUAAACGAUGUCGAUUUGGAGGUUGUGCCCUUGAGGCGUGGCUUCCGGAGCUAACGCGUUAAAUCGACCGCCUGGGGAGUACGGCCGCAAGGUUAAAACUCAAAUGAAUUGACGGGGGCCCGCACAAGCGGUGGAGCAUGUGGUUUAAUUCGAUGCAACGCGAAGAACCUUACCUACUCUUGACAUCCAGAGAACUUAGCAGGGAUGCUUUGGUGCCUUCGGGAACUCUGAGACAGGUGCUGCAUGGCUGUCGUCAGC